Dipodomys ordii (Ord's kangaroo rat) is the source of this 65-nucleotide non-coding RNA. The record is from Rfam. NCBI's taxonomy places the organism in Eukaryota, Metazoa, Chordata, Mammalia, Rodentia, Heteromyidae.
GGUGGCUCAGUGGUAGAGCACUUGCCUUGCAUGCAUGAGGCCGUGGGUUCAAUUCCUCAGCACCA